GGUAAUAUAAUAAUAAUACAAUUAUAUAAUAUAAUAUAAUAUAAUUAUAUAUAUAAUAAUAUAGUAAUAUUUAUUGUUAUAAAAUUUAGUUUAGAUAAAUGGUUUUAAAAAUUAAAAAACUAAAAAUGCGUUAGUUAAACAUUUAAUUUUCCUUACUGAUUUUUCGUUUUUAAUCGAACCAAAAACAUUUGGUAAAAAUAAGCACUUCGUAUUUAGCGUUUGAGUUCAUCCACUUAGUGUUCAUUACAUUAAUUUGAGCACGUACUUAACUAAUUCCUGUUUAUUUACAUUCAACUACCAUGCUGUCUUAACCGUAAUAUUUUGGCUUGUGUACAUCUCCACCGAUAUUAAAGGAAUAUUAGAGAGAGUCAAUACGCGAGUCUUGACUGCUCAAAUAAACACCAUGAAAAUAUAAUUUGGGUGUUCUCAAGAUAGGUGAUCGUCAGUAAUAUGGUAAUCUAAAUCUCAAAGUACUCAGAGGGAUAAGAAAGAAGCGUCAGGAGUUCAUGACUGUAGAAUUUUUUGUUGUACAUUUUUUUUUCUCAGUGUCUAGCUAGAUAAUAGUUUGUGUGAUAAAAACAAAAUAAAACAAUGAUUUUUUUUUUCUAGAAAAACAUAGUUGGAUUUAAAAACCACUACUCAAAGUUUUUAAGAGGUUUUCUUGUCUAUUAUAUAAUAUGGACAUUGUUUUAUAAGUGUUAGCAUAAGUAUGUUGGUAUAUAUUCAGAGUAUUAUACUAUUUUAAAGUUCUUAGUAGACAAUAGACAUUACAGUUGACUGUACUUAUUCAUACCGUAUUAUUAUUUAUUAUUAUUAUCGCGUAAAAUGGUUUUAAUUCUUUAAAAUUUAUUUUACUAGUUUUUAUCUACCCAUGUUUGCGAUCUACUGGAACUGAUACAGGUACACAGAUUAAAUUCUAUGGAUAGGUACAUGAUUAUAACUAGUUAAAGAAAAAUUAAUCGUAUUAAAAUUUUUUUGUUUUUUAGGUAUUACAAACAAAAUGAGAAAAUAUUUGUUUUUUGUCAUUGGUUAGAACGAAUUUGAAUUCUACCAACACAUGUCAACUUAACAAUUUCAAAUAAUUUCAUUAUUUUUCUAUAUUAUAUGUAUAGCGAUAUAGCAUAGUACUUGCACAUUUUCAAAAAAAAAUUUAUGAUCAUUAAUAGUUUUAUUAAAAGAAUAUGGGCUCAAGUCGAGUGAAAAUUUGAAAUAACAUAGGAAUGCUGGACUCGAUGUCUUGUUAAAUCGACAAGUCGAUGGUUACUUUUUGUGGUUAUUGGAGUUUCACUAAUCAAGUGACGAUAUCAAAACAUAAAAAGAGAUCAAUUAUGUAUUAAGUUAACCAACUUCUGAGAUAGCAAUAGAAUGAUAUUUGCAUCCAUUUUUCAAUCGUAUGUGGAAUUUGUCACGUUAACAAAAAACUAUAAUCAAACUAUAUCAACUAAAAUAUUCACUAUCUAUUUCAAAUCAGUCUUCGAUCGGAGAUGACCUUUAUGGGAAGCAGUACAUUAAAAAUAAAAUGAUCAAUCAUCAUCCGGUCUCAACCAUACGACUUAUACCAGCUACGCAUAUAAACAUAGCUGGUAAACAGGGUAUACUCCUCGAAUCUGGUACAUAUCAGUUACUUUAGCUUAACACUUAAUUUUCGUAUUUGAUUGCCAAGAACGUCAAUAAAUAAUGUACAUUUACGAAUACAUUAAUAUAAUGUUUAAAAUGCAGUUAUUGGAUUUUAACGACAAAGAGAAUAGUUAAUUGUUUUAAUCGUUUAAAUAAAAUAAAUAACAAAUAAAUGGUGAAACGAAAUACCUAUACUAUAAAGAUUCAUAAUCUCUAUAAUGUCUAUAGUCUACUAUCUAUAGACCUUAUAGUAUAUAACUCAAACUAUAUU
This is a long non-coding RNA of Aphis gossypii (cotton aphid), 1888 nucleotides long. RefSeq lists it as uncharacterized. Lineage: Eukaryota; Metazoa; Arthropoda; Insecta; Hemiptera; Aphididae. The record is from RefSeq and is a predicted model, not a curated record. The transcript is spliced from 4 exons.